Molecule: non-coding RNA, 187 nt
Organism: Brassica napus (rape)
Lineage: Eukaryota; Viridiplantae; Streptophyta; Magnoliopsida; Brassicales; Brassicaceae
Source: Rfam
AUGAAAAAAGCAUGUCAAAAUAGCCAAGGAGACUGCCUGAAAUCUAACCCACAAAGAUUCAAUAUGAUUUUUGAAUUAUUAUACUUCAUCAAUGCAUAUUAAUCCAAAACCAUCAACUUAAAAUUGAAUCAUGGAGGUGAAAAAGAGCAGGCAAGUCAUCCUUGGCUACUAAACAUGACUCUUUUCG